RNAcentral lists this ribosomal RNA (1316 nucleotides) under metagenome. Its description in RNAcentral is "bacterial LSU rRNA". It matches the Rfam family "Bacterial large subunit ribosomal RNA", at positions 1626 to 2925 of the family's 2925-position model. The record is from RNAcentral.
UUAACCACUGUGCUGACCGUACCGUAAACCGACACAGGUGGGCGGGGAGAAUAUCCCAAGGCGCUUGAGAGAACCCUGCUUAAGGAACUCGCAAAAUUACACCGUAACUUCGGGAGAAGGUGUGCCGGUCUUACGUGAAGAGGCUUGCCCUCGGAGCGGAAACCGGUUGCAGAGAAACGGGGGUAGCGACUGUUUACCAAAAACACAGGGCUCUGCUAAGUCGCAAGACGACGUAUAGGGUCUGAUGCCUGCCCGGUGCCGGAAGGUUAAGGGGAGUUGUUAGCGCAAGCGACGCAACGAACCGAAGCCCCGGUAAACGGCGGCCGUAACGAUAACGGUCCUAAGGUAGCAAAAUUCCUUGUCGGGUAAGUUCCGACCUGCACGAGGGCAUAACGACUUCCCCACUGUCUCGAGCAGGGACUCAGCGAAGUAGCACUGGGGGUGAAGAUACCCUCUACGCGUGGUAGGACGGAAAGACCCCAUGAACCUUUACUCUAACUUGACACUGAGUUUCGGAUCAGAUUGCGUAGGAUAGGUGGGAGGCUAUGAGGCCGGUACUCCGGUAUCGGUGGAGCCAACGUUGAAAUACCACCCUGUUUGAUCUGGAAUUCUAACCUUCGCCCGUGAUCCGGGCGGGGGACAAUGUCUGGUGGGGAGUUUGACUGGGGCGGUCGCCUCCAAAAGAGUAACGGAGGCGCGCGAAGGUUCCCUCAGGCUGAUUGGAAACCAGCCUUCGAGUGUAAUGGCAUAAGGGAGCUUGACUGCGAGGCCGACGAGCCGAGCAGGUGCGAAAGCAGGUCAUAGUGAUCCGGUGGUUCCAUAUGGACGGGCCAUCGCUCAACGGAUAAAGGUACUCUGGGGAUAACAGGCUUAUCGCUUCCAAGAGUUCACAUCGACGAAGCGGUUUGGCACCUCGAUGUCGGCUCAUCGCAUCCUGGGGCUGAAGUCGGUCCCAAGGGUUUGGCUGUUCGCCAAUUAAAGCGGUACGCGAGCUGGGUUCAAAACGUCGUGAGACAGUUUGGUCCCUAUCCACCAUGCGCGAAGGAAACUUGAGAGGAUCUGUCCUUAGUACGAGAGGACCGGGAUGGACCGACCGCUAGUGUUCCGGUUGUGGCGCCAGCCGCAUCGCCGGGUAGCUACGUCGGGACGGGAUAACCGCUGGAAGCAUCUAAGCGGGAAGCCCACCUCAAGAUCAUGUUUCCCGGGCCGUAAGGCCCCUGAAGACCCCACGAAGACUACGUGGUUGAUAGGCCGGGUGUGGAAGGCGAGCAAUCGCUGGAGCUUACCGGUACUAAUCGGUCGUGAGGCUUGGCCAC